Molecule: unclassified non-coding RNA, 276 nt
Filed under: Phaeotremella sp.
Lineage: Eukaryota; Fungi; Basidiomycota; Tremellomycetes; Tremellales; Phaeotremellaceae
Description: partial contains 5.8S ribosomal RNA, internal transcribed spacer 2, and large subunit ribosomal RNA
Rfam family: 5.8S ribosomal RNA (bases 1-52)
Source: RNAcentral
AACGCACCUUGCGCCUUUUGGUAUUCCGAAAGGCAUGCCUGUUUGAGUGUCAUGAAAUCUCAAUCCCCUCGGGUUUUUCCUGUAGGGUGCAUUGGACUUGGGCGCCUGCCAUCUGUCGUGGCUCGCCUUGAAUGUGUUAGCUGGGAACCAGUGCCGUAGCUCGACGUGAUACGUUUCGUCUGGCGAGGUGCAGGGUCCCGCUGCCAAUCGUCUCCUCGUGGGACAACAACCUUUUGCAAAGACCUCAAAUCAGGUAGGACUACCCGCUGAACUUAA